AGCGAACGCUGGCGGCAGGCUUAACACAUGCAAGUCGAGCGGGCACUUUCGGGUUUCCGCGGCGGACGGGUGCGUACCGCGUGGUAACGUGCCCUCUGGUUCGGAAUAACUCAGGGAAACUUGAGCUAAUACCGGAUACUCCCUCUUGGGGAAAGGCUUGCUUCCGGAGGAUCGGCCCGCAUCUGAUUAGCUAGUUGAUGAGGUGACGGCUCACCAAGGCGGCGAUCAGUAGAUGUUCUGAGAGGAUGAUCCGCGACACCGGUGCGGGGAAGCUGCCCAGAAUACUACGGGAGGCAGGAGUGGGGAAUAUUGGAAAGCGGCGGGAAGGCUGAUGCAGCCAGGAUGGGAGAGUGAUGAAGGUUUGAAGGUCGUAAAGCUCUUUUAUCCGGGACGAUAAUGACGGUACCGGAGGAAUAAGCCCCGGCUAACUUCGUG
Molecule: ribosomal RNA, 435 nt
Filed under: uncultured bacterium
Lineage: Bacteria
Description: partial 16S ribosomal RNA
Rfam family: Bacterial small subunit ribosomal RNA
Source: RNAcentral